UGUAGUGUCUGUAGUCCAGGUGAUGUUGGUUACAAAAUAUUUGCGUCGCCUGAAAGUAAAUAAAUAAUAGCUCGAAAUAACCGUCGUUAGAAGCAGAAUAAUAUUGCGUGACAUUUAUUAUCAAUUACAUAAUAAGGUUGCACUCCUGAGUUUGAUUCACCGGCACUAGAAAUGGACCGAAAAAACAUGCUGAAACUACUGAUUGGAACCGUGGUAACGUUGCACAUAAGCUUUUACUUUAUCAAACCUUUAAUCCUACCCCAAGCCCAAAAUCGAGCAGAAAAUAAUUCUGAAACUAGACCUGACUACUGGAAACCGUAAGUUUUCUUACAUACCUGUAUUUCAAUUUAAAAUAAAAACAAAUAUAUUCCUAAAGGAAACUGUGAUAACUAGCAAAACCAUUAAUAGAACAAUGCUUCUUGAUAAGCGGUAGGUUAUAUAUUCA
Topomyia yanbarensis is the source of this 445-nucleotide long non-coding RNA. RefSeq lists it as uncharacterized. NCBI's taxonomy places the organism in Eukaryota, Metazoa, Arthropoda, Insecta, Diptera, Culicidae. The transcript is spliced from 2 exons. The record is from RefSeq and is a predicted model, not a curated record.